AGAAAAAUAUGUUGAAAAUUAUCAAAUUUGUUAAUGUUAGAAUUAUCUUUCUUUCCCUCUUUCUUUUUGCAAUGAAUGUUGAAGGUCAAUUUCCCGGUCAAUUUCAACGUAAUUGGACUAAGCCUUGUUCUCUACAUUCUGAUUGUUCAUAUGACAUGUGUAAGCCUCCUUUCAACCCAGCAUGUAUAGAGCACAUGUGUAUGUGUCGAUUCUUUAAAAUCGAAUAUUAAGAGAGUACAUAAAGUCUUUUUUAGAAUAUCUCUUAAGGUAUUCUAUAGUUAUUUUACUGAUACUCAACAAAAAAUUUAGUUAUGGAUUUGUAUUGAUAGAUGAUGGUAACAAAAUAUCUUUAAUAGUUAAGUUCAAAAUUAGUUUUUAUGUUAUUUCUACUCAAGAAAUCUACAUUGUCAUGCCCACAUUUAAACUAAUGUUGUUCUUAUAUAUUCAUCAAUAUUCCAUUGUUCAUUCUAA
RNAcentral lists this long non-coding RNA (471 nucleotides) under Lathyrus oleraceus (garden pea). RNAcentral describes it as "Pisum sativum (pea) long non-coding RNA (PSAT_LNC036157)". The record is from RNAcentral. Lineage: Eukaryota; Viridiplantae; Streptophyta; Magnoliopsida; Fabales; Fabaceae.